Molecule: small RNA, 75 nt
Filed under: Xanthomonas vasicola
Lineage: Bacteria; Pseudomonadati; Pseudomonadota; Gammaproteobacteria; Lysobacterales; Lysobacteraceae
Description: sX9
Source: RNAcentral
AUGUACCACCCGACACUGCGUUGCUGAUCUGCCGUUCGCGCCCACCUGACGACUGCGCACGACGUUCUGUUACCC